AAGUCGUAACAAGGUCUCCGUUGGUGAACCAGCGGAGGGAUCAUUAUGGAGUCCCUAUAACUCCUAAACCAUUUGUGAACCUACUUUACCAUUGCUUCGGCGAGUUGCCAUCAGCCUGAUUUUUUGACUGUAGGCAGCUUGUCAGAGGUGCUCAAAACCCUAGUUGUUGGCAUGUGGUUUCUCUGAGUCUCUUGAACAAGUCAAAACUUUCAACAACGGAUCUCUUGGUUCUG
This 233-nucleotide unclassified non-coding RNA is filed under the name fungal sp. RNAcentral's name for it is "partial internal transcribed spacer region". The stretch from base 1 to 46 matches the Rfam family "Eukaryotic small subunit ribosomal RNA", at positions 1786 to 1831 of the family's 1831-position model. Lineage: Eukaryota; Fungi. The record is from RNAcentral.